AACGAACGCUGGCGGCAGGCUUAACACAUGCAAGUCGAGCGAGACCUUCGGGUCUAGCGGCGGACGGGUGAGUAACGCGUGGGAACGUGCCCUUCUCUACGGAAUAGCCCCGGGAAACUGGGAGUAAUACCGUAUACGCCCUUUGGGGGAAAGAUUUAUCGGAGCAGGAUCGGCCCGCGUUGGAUUAGGUAGUUGGUGGGGUAAUGGCCCACCAAGCCGACGAUCCAUAGCUGGUUUGAGAGGAUGAUCAGCCACACUGGGACUGAGACACGGCCCAGACUCCUACGGGAGGCAGCAGUGGGGAAUCUUAGACAAGGGGGGCAACCCUGAUCUAGCCAUGCCGCGUGAGUGAUGAAGGCCUUAGGGUUGUAAAGCUCUUUCAGCUGGGAAGAUAAUGACGGUACCAGCAGAAGAAGCCCCGGCUAACUCCGUG
RNAcentral lists this ribosomal RNA (433 nucleotides) under uncultured bacterium. RNAcentral's name for it is "partial 16S ribosomal RNA". It matches the Rfam family "Bacterial small subunit ribosomal RNA", at positions 29 to 507 of the family's 1533-position model. The record is from RNAcentral.